This 459-nucleotide ribosomal RNA is filed under the name uncultured Agrobacterium sp. Its description in RNAcentral is "bacterial SSU rRNA". It matches the Rfam family "Bacterial small subunit ribosomal RNA", at positions 462 to 917 of the family's 1533-position model. Lineage: Bacteria; Pseudomonadati; Pseudomonadota; Alphaproteobacteria; Hyphomicrobiales; Rhizobiaceae. The record is from RNAcentral.
GAAGAUAAUGACGGUAACCGGAGAAGAAGCCCCGGCUAACUUCGUGCCAGCGGCCGCGGUAAUACGAAGGGGGCUAGCGUUGUUCGGAAUUACUGGGCGUAAAGCGCACGUAGGCGGAUAUUUAAGUCAGGGGUGAAAUCCCAGAGCUCAACUCUGGAACUGCCUUUGAUACUGGGUAUCUUGAGUAUGGAAGAGGUGAGUGGAAUUCCGAGUGUAGAGGUGAAAUUCGUAGAUAUUCGGAGGAACACCAGUGGCGAAGGCGGCUCACUGGUCCAUUACUGACGCUGGGGUGCGAAAGCGUGGGGAGCAAACAGGAUUAGAUAACCCUGGUAGUCCACGCCGUAAACGAUGAAUGUUAACCGUCGGGCAGUAUACUGUUCCGUGGCGCAGCUAACGCAUUAAACAUUCCGCCUGGGGAGUACGGUCGCAAGAUUAAAAAACUCAAAGGAAAUUGACGGA